RNAcentral lists this ribosomal RNA (253 nucleotides) under uncultured bacterium. Its description in RNAcentral is "partial 16S ribosomal RNA". It matches the Rfam family "Bacterial small subunit ribosomal RNA", at positions 524 to 776 of the family's 1533-position model. The record is from RNAcentral.
UACGUAGGGGGCUAGCGUUGUCCGGAAUCAUUGGGCGUAAAGAGCGUGUAGGCGGCCAAGCAGGUCCGUUGUGAAAACUGGAGGCUUAACCUCCAGACGUCGACGGAAACCGCGUGGCUAGAGUCCGGAAGAGGAGAGUGGAAUUCCUGGUGUAGCGGUGAAAUGCGCAGAUAUCAGGAAGAACACCCGUGGCGAAGGCGGCUCUCUGGGACGGUACUGACGCUGAGACGCGAAAGCGUGGGGAGCGAACAGG